AUGGCGCGAAGCGUGCCGUACGUGUCGGCGGCGAAGCUGGUGUCCAUGGCGCGGGGGAACCGGGUGGCCAUCAUCGACGUCAGGGAUGAGGAGAGGAGCUAUCAAGCGCACAUCGCGGGGUCGCACCACUUCGCCAGCGGCAGCUUCGCGGCGCGGAUGCCGGAGCUAGUGCUGGCCACCAGCGGCAAGGACACCCUCGUCUUCCACUGCGCGCUCAGCCAGGUGCGAGGUCCGUCCUGUGCUCGGAUGUUUUCAGACUAUCUAUCAGAGUCCAAGGAAGAUUCGGGGAUAAAGAACAUCAUGGUGCUUGAACGUGGGUUCAAUGGAUGGGAGAUUUCUGGCCAACCCGUGUGCCACUGCAAAGAUGCUCCUUGCAAAGGCACAUGCUCUUGA
This 393-nucleotide ribosomal RNA is filed under the name Triticum aestivum (bread wheat). Its description in RNAcentral is "partial small subunit ribosomal RNA". Lineage: Eukaryota; Viridiplantae; Streptophyta; Magnoliopsida; Poales; Poaceae. The record is from RNAcentral.